RNAcentral lists this transfer RNA (96 nucleotides) under Bacillota bacterium. RNAcentral's name for it is "tRNA-Sec". It matches the Rfam family "Selenocysteine transfer RNA". The record is from RNAcentral. Lineage: Bacteria; Bacillati; Bacillota.
GGGAGUAGCUGGGAGGCUGGUGCCCCCCCUGGACUUCAAAUCCAGUGGCGGGCCUUAGAAGCCCGCGGUGGGUUCGAUUCCCACAUGCUCCCGCCA